Molecule: long non-coding RNA, 1352 nt
Filed under: Gossypium barbadense (sea-island cotton)
Lineage: Eukaryota; Viridiplantae; Streptophyta; Magnoliopsida; Malvales; Malvaceae
Description: long non-coding RNA (GBAR_LNC021345)
Source: RNAcentral
UGAGCAUCCCUCACCGCCGAUAUUGAGCUCUUGAGUAGAGGUGAGUCUAUUUAAUCCCCAUGCAACAAGUGAUGUAUACAUUUUGGGUCCAUUUGAGAUUUCAAGUGAUGUGAGAUUCAUAGGGAAACCCUCUUCUGGGAAGGACAUAUCAGCUGAACACUUCCACACCUUGAAUCCUUGUCCUAUUUCUUCUUUUUCUGUUCGAAUUUCGUUCGUGUGUUCGAGAUUUUCCUCACCGGAAAUUUGUACUAACAGUAGAGAACUUUGAACCACCGUAAUUCUGAAUGACAAGUUGCUCAAGCUUUUUUGGAGGACAAAGAGAGCCCAACACCCAUUCUUCAUCUUCUUUAUUCCUUUGAAUCCUUCUCAAGCUUUUUACUCCAAUGCAAUACCGAUCGAUCAAUCCCAUUCUUCUCAUUUAACUUGGCUUCCCCUGCAUCUUGACCAUUAACAUACUCCAAUCCAGAAAGACGGAAAUCACCUCCGAGGUUUGACAAAUAUAUCAAUUCUUUAAUACGAUGUCCAUCACCUUCCCCUAUAACAUAAUCAGAUAACCUCUGAAGGUUGGUUAGCUUACCAAUUCCGAAAGGCAUCCUUUCUAUUAAGUUUGCACCUUUGAUAUCAAGAUAUUGCAAGCUAACAAGCUUUUCCAUCUUCGAGGGCAACUUUUGAAGCUUGGAACACUGUUUUAAUGAUAAAGUUUCCAAAUGAUGAAGUGUGCACAGAGAAUCAGGUAAACAUUAGAUUUUGGAGUAAGAAAAAUUCAAGUAACGAAGAUGCUUUAAAUUUUCAAAAACGUCAGGCAACUCAACAAUAUUGUAUCCACUCAAAGAGAGCACCCUUAGGUAGCAAAGUCUUGGCAACAAAUCAACCAAGACAACAUUAGUUAAAUAGAUCUCUAGAUAAUAACUUGUAAAAAACAAGGGUAGAAAAGUAGGUAACGAAUUUGCUUGAUCAAAUGCUUCAAACUUCUUCACUGUGUCAAACAUGCUGAUAAUAUAAGAAGAAUGCCGAAAGCGAUUUGAGCAUACUUGUCGUGCAACUAGUUGAGCUAAAUCAUUGAUAAGGUAAUGCAUUACGAAUCGGGACUUAUCUUUACUGGAUAUCUGAAAAAAUGACCUGGACACUAGAUCUUGAAAAUAUUGAUUUCCGAGAUCUUUAAUUUGAGGCAUAGCUUUUUGUUGCAGGAGACCUUCUGCUCUCCAUAACAAGAUAAUUUCUUCUUCCUCAAAUUCAUAAUCUUUAGGAAGUAUGGAGCAAUAUGCAAAACAUCGUUUCAAGUAUGACGGAAGAUGAUGGUAGCUUAAUCGCAAUGCUGGAAUUAUGCCACACUGCUCUUCUGGUAAGUUCCA